AAUAGCCUAACGGCUGAACCAGCAACUUGGAAGAAUGUAUAGCUAAGCUAAAUGUUUUUUUUUACAUUUUUUGUAAGAAACAUAUUCGAUUUACUCGUAUAAAGUUCUAGGUAGAAUUAUGAUAAUGACAUUAUCUAUCUAUAAGUCUUGACCAACAUGCGUGCCAGCAGUCGCGGCAAGACGCUAAAGACUAGUGUUAUUCAUUUUAAUAGGUUUAAAGGGUACCUAGACGGUAAAUUAAGCCUUAAUCGGUACUAAUUUAACUAGAGUUAAAUGUAAGGGUGCAUUAACGUACUAUUGAGUGUAGAGAUGAAAUUCUGUCAUACCAGAUUAUUGGCACGGGUUUAGGCGAAAGCAUCACUUUAUGUAAUAACUGACGUUGAGGGACGAAGGCUUUGUAUCGCUAAAAGGAUUAGAUACCCUCGUAGUCUAAGCAGACAAUGAUGAAUGUCAUAGGUUAAAUAUUGUUUAGUCUAUAAAUGAAAGUGUAAGCAUUCCACCUCAAGAGUAAUUUGGCAACAUUGGAAUUGAAAUCAUUAGACCGUUUCUGAAACCAGUAGUGAAGUAUGUUGUUUAAUUAGAUGGUCCACAAAAAACCUUACCACAACUUGAAUAUUUUACAAGCGUUGCACGGCUGUCUUCAGUUAAUGUCGUGAGAUUUUGGUUAGUUCCAUUAAUUAACGUAAACCCUUGCUUUAUUUUUAUAUAAAGUAGUUCGCCGCUAUAUUGGUUAGAUAAAA
This 740-nucleotide ribosomal RNA is filed under the name Leptogium sp. RNAcentral's name for it is "SSU rRNA". It matches the Rfam family "Bacterial small subunit ribosomal RNA", at positions 370 to 1172 of the family's 1533-position model. Lineage: Eukaryota; Fungi; Ascomycota; Lecanoromycetes; Peltigerales; Collemataceae. The record is from RNAcentral.